UCAGGUUCGGAAAGCAGCAGCACUAGGUAAAUCCCGCGACGUGACGCUGUUUGCU
This 55-nucleotide non-coding RNA is filed under the name Alexandrium minutum. RNAcentral also lists the same sequence under 1 other name. The record is from RNAcentral. Lineage: Eukaryota; Dinophyceae; Gonyaulacales; Pyrocystaceae.